AGUUUCCUUGCUGAUGAGAAGGGAGGGAAAAGCUGCAUGGUGGGCACCAGAAGUGGGCAGGAGUUGCCAACCUUCAAAAGUGGCUCUGUGCAGUUUCUCAGGCACGAUGAAAGGCAGCAAGACAGGAGGCCAGAAAAGCAGGCCAACCCAGGAGAAUGUAAGAUUCCUGCACCCAAUCUCUAACAAAGAGGGAGAAUAGCAUUAAUGAAAAGCCAUAAUGGAUACCUUCUUCUAUGAACAGCUAAUGGGAAAAAAAUGCCCCAAGAAACACCUGAAACCUUGAGCAGUUUCUAUGGAAACCACAGUCUGUUUUUAUUCUGAAGGCAUUUGAGUAAAUGUGAAGAGAUGAAAGCCUUAGACCUGCUGCGUGUAUGCAGGGUGGGGAUGGUGUUCUAAAAGCCUGAUCUUAGCUUCAUGGACUACUACAAUAGUGUUCUCUCUCUCUCUCUCUCUCUCUCUCUCUCUCUCUCUCUCUCUCUCUCUCUCUCUCCCCUCUCUCCCUCUUUCCCUUUCCCCCCUCUCUCCCUCUUUCCCUUUCUCAUAAUUUAAAGUAGCAAACAAAUGGCAUUUUCAUUGUCUAAGAAAAUAAUUCUGGUGUCCUUUAUUUUGUAUGUGCCAUUUAACUAAUGUUGCAUUCUGUUUUAGUAGGUGUCUGUUUCCCACAUGUGAAAUAGGGCUUACAAGUAUCACAUGCUUUUGACCUCCAUUACCUGUGCAAAUACCAUAUUAUCCAGAAGGAAGGAUGUGAGAAAAGGUAGUCACACAAAGAAGGGACAUAUAAAGAAGAGGAAGAAAAAGGAGAAGAAAGAAGCAGGAAGAGGAGGAGGGAGGGAAAGAAGAGGAGGAGGAAGAGGAGGAAGAGAAGAAAGCCUAAGGUUAUCUUCUUGGGACCUGCCCCCUUUGCCACGAGAAAAGCUUGUCUUAAGGAGCUUCCUUCAGCCUGGACACUGAGAUGAAGACCCGGAGCAGCUCAGUCUAGUGCAGAAAAGCCUAGUUACACAUGCAAUUGUUCGUUCUUCUAAUGUGGGAGGCCUACAUUGCAAUAGAAUAAUCUUCCAUUACUUUGUAUUUAGCUCUUCAUUAUUAUACAGUGCCCAUUCCAAACAAGGGACGAAUUGUGACAACAUCCUCAUCUCCAAAGCAUGUGUCCUGCAGAUCAAAGCUCUGUCUGCCAAUUUGACUGUUUUUAAAACGUUCCCAAUGCAUUUGAGUGUAUUGAUGCUUUUCUUUGGAUUUUCCUCCUCACUUUUCAGCACUAUGAAGAGAAUGUUGCUCUCUUUAAAGUUCUGGCAGGCACAUUCUAGAAAUGUUUGUGAAGAGUGAGUAUUCAGUAAUUGUUGCUAAUUGCCUCUGCUCUCCACUUCACAUUGCUACUACAGACCUGGCAAAAGACUCUUUGUUCCAAUGAAGCCCAUCUUUGUUUUCAGAUACUAAUCAUUCUUUUGGAAGGAAUGAACGUUGCUUUCUAAAGCAAGCACCAAAUAUGCAUUGCACAUGGAAAGAAAGUUCUCGCUGGUAUAUGCAUCACACACACAUACACACACACACACACACACACACACACACACACACUCACACACCAAGAUCUUAAUUAAAGGCCAAUUAUUUCUCUCUUUUAAAUAUUUGGAAAAUCCAAUUUCUGAAACAUUUUCAUUUGAUUAGCCCAAAAUAUAUAUAAUCAUGAUCACAUUAAUAACUCUUAUUUUUAUCACAUCACUUUACUAGCAAAAACAAAAAUGUUAGUAACAUUAAAAAUAAAUAAGUUAAAUAAGCAUAAGCAUAUUUCAAAGAUAAUUUGGGUUAUAAAUACUUCGAAAGUCUGACAUUUGACGUAAUGGAUUUGAGACUGAGUUAAAUCACGCUAUAUUCAGUAUCACCAAGCUUAUAGGUUGAUAGCAGUAGAUGUUUAAAAAAUAACUUACAUGAUGGAUGAGAUAUAGUUGCUUAAUAGGAUCACCUUCAACUCCACUGUGACAUUUCUUACACAUUAAAGAUAAUUGUAUAUUCAAAUAUCAAGUUUGGGACCUGCCCCCACCCCCCCCACACCUUACAGGAUCUAAGUGAAGUUGAUGUAUCAUUUUCUACAAGGAAUACACAGUGUAAACUAAGAGAAUAUCUAUUGUCAGAGUGACUUGAGAUA
Non-coding RNA from Peromyscus maniculatus bairdii (prairie deer mouse), 2140 nucleotides. NCBI's taxonomy places the organism in Eukaryota, Metazoa, Chordata, Mammalia, Rodentia, Cricetidae. The record is from RefSeq and is a predicted model, not a curated record.